AUUGAACGCUGGCGGCGUGCCUAACACAUGCAAGUCGAGCGGUAACAGGUGUAGCAAUACAUGCUGACGAGCGGCGGACGGGUGAGUAACGCUUGGGAAUCUGCCUAUUAGUGGGGGACAACCCGGGGAAACUCGGGCUAAUACCGCAUACGCUCUACGGAGGAAAGCCGGGGACCGCAAGGCCUGGCGCUAAUAGAUGAGCCCAAGUCGGAUUAGCUAGUUGGUAGGGUAANGGCCUACCAAGGCGACGAUCCGUAACUGGUCUGAGAGGACGACCAGUCACACCGGAACUGAGACACGGUCCGGACUCCUACGGGAGGCAGCAGUGGGGAAUAUUGGACAAUGGGCGAAAGCCUGAUCCAGCGACGCCGCGUGGGUGAAGAAGGCCUGCGGGUUGUAAAGCCCUUCAGUGGGGAAGAAAAGCCUCGACCUAACACGUCGGGGUCUUGACGUAACCCAUAGAAGAAGCACCGGCUAACUCUGUGCCA
This 488-nucleotide ribosomal RNA is filed under the name uncultured bacterium. RNAcentral's name for it is "bacterial SSU rRNA". It matches the Rfam family "Bacterial small subunit ribosomal RNA", at positions 29 to 510 of the family's 1533-position model. The record is from RNAcentral.